This 70-nucleotide transfer RNA is filed under the name Dielma fastidiosa. RNAcentral's name for it is "tRNA-Val". It matches the Rfam family "tRNA". Rfam says of the family: Transfer RNA (tRNA) molecules are approximately 80 nucleotides in length. Their secondary structure includes four short double-helical elements and three loops (D, anti-codon, and T loops). The record is from RNAcentral. Lineage: Bacteria; Bacillati; Bacillota; Erysipelotrichia; Erysipelotrichales; Erysipelotrichaceae.
UUAGCUCAGUUGGGAGAGCGUCUGCCUUACAAGCAGAGGGUCAGCGGUUCGAGCCCGUUAACCUCCACCA